This 338-nucleotide unclassified non-coding RNA is filed under the name soil metagenome. RNAcentral's name for it is "partial contains 5.8S ribosomal RNA, internal transcribed spacer 2, and large subunit ribosomal RNA". The stretch from base 1 to 121 matches the Rfam family "5.8S ribosomal RNA", at positions 35 to 154 of the family's 154-position model. The record is from RNAcentral.
GAUGAAGAACGUAGCGAAAUGCGAUAAGUAAUGCGAAUUGCAGAAUUUCCGUGAGUCAUCGAAUCUUUGAACGCACAUUGCGCCCCAUGGUAUUCCGUGGGGCAUGCCUGUUCGAGCGUCAUUUACCCCCUCAAGCUCCGCUUGGUGUUGGGCGUCUGUCCCGCUUCGCGCGCGGACUCGCCCCAAAGGUAUUGGCAGCGGUCGUGCCAGCUUCUCGCGCAGCACAUUGCGCUUCUCGAGGCACCGGUGGGCCCGCGUCCAUCAAGCUCACCCCCCCAGUUUGACCUCGGAUCAGGUAGGGAUACCCGCUGAACUUAAGCAUAUCAAUAAGCGGAGGA